This 201-nucleotide ribosomal RNA is filed under the name uncultured bacterium. Its description in RNAcentral is "partial 16S ribosomal RNA". It matches the Rfam family "Bacterial small subunit ribosomal RNA", at positions 328 to 539 of the family's 1533-position model. The record is from RNAcentral.
ACGCUCGACACCUACGGGGAGGCAGCAGGUGGGGAAUAUUGCACAAUGGGGGAAACCCUGAUGCAGCGACGCCGCGUGAGCGAAGAAGUAUUUCGGUAUGUAAAGCUCUAUCAGCAGGGAAGAAACUGACGGUACCUGACUAAGAAGCACCGGCUAAAUACGUGCCAACAGCCGCGGUAAUCUGAGGCGGGCUGGCAAGGC